Molecule: non-coding RNA, 79 nt
Organism: Podarcis lilfordi (Lilford's wall lizard)
Lineage: Eukaryota; Metazoa; Chordata; Lepidosauria; Squamata; Lacertidae
Source: the annotation of a GenBank genome assembly
GUUCUGACAAUAGCUUAGUUGGAAAAGCAUGAGACUCUUAUUAAUCUCAGGGUUGUGGAUUCGAGCCCCACAUUGGACA